UACGUAGGUGGCAAGCGUUGUCCGGAUUUACUGGGCGUAAAGAGCGCGCAGGCGGUCGUUCAAGUCGCGUGUGAAAGCCCCCGGCUCAACUGGGGAGGGUCACGCGAUACUGAUCGACUCGAAGGCAGGAGAGGGAAGUGGAAUUCCCGGUGUAGUGGUGAAAUGCGUAGAUAUCGGGAGGAACACCAAUGGCGAAGGCAGCUCGCUGGGACGUUACUGACGCUGAGACGCGAAAGCGUGGGGAGCAAACAGG
Molecule: ribosomal RNA, 253 nt
Filed under: uncultured bacterium
Lineage: Bacteria
Description: partial 16S ribosomal RNA
Rfam family: Bacterial small subunit ribosomal RNA
Source: RNAcentral